GUGAGGAAUAUUGGUCAAUGGAGGCAACUCUGAACCAGCCAUGCCGCGUGCAGGAAGACGGUCCUAUGGAUUGUAAACUGCUUUUAUUUAGGAAUAAACCCCCGGUCGUGCACCGGGGCUGAAUGUACUAAAAGAAUAAGCACCGGCUAACUCCGUGCCAGCAGCCGCGGUAAUACGGAGGGUGCAAGCGUUAUCCGGAAUCAUUGGGUUUAAAGGGUCCGCAGGCGGGUAAAUAAGUCAGAGGUGAAAUCCGGCAGCUCAACUGUCGCACUGCCUUUGAUACUGUUUAUCUUGAAUUUUAGUGGAGUGGGCGGAAUAUGUCAUGUAGCGGUGAAAUGCUUAGAUAUGACGUGGAACACCGAUAGCGAAGGCAGCUCACUAACUAUGAAUUGACGCUCAUGGACGAAAGCGUGGGUAGCAAACAGGAUUAGAUACCCGGGUAGUCC
Molecule: ribosomal RNA, 446 nt
Filed under: uncultured bacterium
Lineage: Bacteria
Description: partial 16S ribosomal RNA
Rfam family: Bacterial small subunit ribosomal RNA
Source: RNAcentral